AUUGAACGCUGGCGGCAUGCCUUACACAUGCAAGUCGAACGGCAGCACGGGUGCUUGCACCUGUGGCGAGUGGCGAACGGGUGAGUAAUACAUCGGAACGUACCUUAUCGUGGGGGAUAACGCAGCGAAAGCUGUGCUAAUACCGCAUACGCCCUAAGGGGGAAAGCGGGGGAUCGAAAGACCUCGCGCGAUUAGAGCGGCCGAUGCCUGAUUAGCUUGUUGGUGGGGUAAAAGCCCACCGAGGCGACGAUCAGUAGCUGGUCUGAGAGGACGAUCAGCCACACUGGGACUGAGACACGGCCCAGACUCCUACGGGAGGCAGCAGUGGGGAAUUUUGGACAAUGGGGGCAACCCUGAUCCAGCAAUGCCGCGUGAGUGAAGAAGGCCUUCGGGUUGUAAAGCUCUUUUGUCAGGGAAGAAACACCGGCUCUAACACAGUCCGGGAAUGACGGUACCUGAAGAAUAAGCACCGGCUAACUACGUGCCAGCAGCCGCAGUAA
This 500-nucleotide ribosomal RNA is filed under the name uncultured bacterium. RNAcentral's name for it is "partial 16S ribosomal RNA". It matches the Rfam family "Bacterial small subunit ribosomal RNA", at positions 30 to 523 of the family's 1533-position model. The record is from RNAcentral.